This 315-nucleotide ribosomal RNA is filed under the name uncultured eukaryote. RNAcentral describes it as "partial 18S ribosomal RNA". It matches the Rfam family "Eukaryotic small subunit ribosomal RNA", at positions 1470 to 1796 of the family's 1831-position model. The record is from RNAcentral.
CCCUUAGAUGUUCUGGGCUGCACGCGCGCUACACUGACGCACGCAACAGGUGCCUGCUCCGAGAGGACUGGGUAAUCAUUUGAGUGUGCGUCGUGAUGGGGAUAGAAUAUUGUAAUUAUUACUCUUCAACGAGGAAUUCCUAGUAAGCGCAAGUCAGCAGCUUGCGCUGAUUACGUCCCUGCCCUUUGUACACACCACCCGUCGCUCCUACCGAUGGGUGAUCCGGUGAAUGAUUCGGACUUCAGCGGCUCCUCUGGGGUGCGCCGGAGAAAGUUUUGUGAACCUUAUCACUUGGAGGAAGGAGAAGUCGUAACA